GGGGUUGGGGUUUGGCUGCGGCUUGGAUGGUCCUGGCCGUGGUUUAGGCUCCGGCUUUGCAGGAGUGGGUUUUGGGUUUGGCUGGGGUUUUGGCUGAGGUUGUGGCUUGACUUCUGGGUCCGGCUUUGCUGGGUUUGUCCUAGGGUUGGGCUGCGGGUCGGGCUUUGGGUUCGUCCUGUCGGAACCAAUGUCGUCUAGUGAAUACACCGGCAAUGACCCUGGCUGAGGUUUAGGAUUUGGCUUUUCAGGAGUUGGCUUUGGGUCCGGUUGAGGCAUUGGCUUUGGUUGUGGCUUGGCAUCUGGGUCCGGAAUUGGGUUGGGUUCCGGCUUUGCACGAGUCAUGGGCUUUGGGUUUGGGUUCGGGUUCGGGUGCGGCAUUUUAGGGUUGGGUUGGGGCAUCGGUUUUGGAGUGGGUUUCGGGGAAGGCUUGGGGUCGAUGAGCCUCCCUCCAUCGGCGAGGCUAGGAUCAUCCGCCGUGACCAUGGCAAGGAGGAGAAGCAAGGCCAGGUGAAAGCACAGCGAAG
Molecule: long non-coding RNA, 524 nt
Filed under: Triticum aestivum (bread wheat)
Lineage: Eukaryota; Viridiplantae; Streptophyta; Magnoliopsida; Poales; Poaceae
Description: long non-coding RNA (TAES_LNC023952)
Source: RNAcentral